Parelaphostrongylus tenuis is the source of this 74-nucleotide non-coding RNA. The record is from the annotation of a GenBank genome assembly. NCBI's taxonomy places the organism in Eukaryota, Metazoa, Nematoda, Chromadorea, Rhabditida, Metastrongylidae.
ACGUCGGUAGUGCAAUUAGCUGAGCACGCGCCUCCGGAAAAGGUGAAAUGCGAGUUAGAGUCUCGCCUGACGUC